This 1938-nucleotide ribosomal RNA is filed under the name human gut metagenome. RNAcentral's name for it is "bacterial LSU rRNA". It matches the Rfam family "Bacterial large subunit ribosomal RNA", at positions 402 to 2430 of the family's 2925-position model. The record is from RNAcentral.
UGUAUCCAGAGUACCGCCGGACACGUGAAACCCGGUGGGAAUAUGGGGGGACCAUCCUCCAAGCCUAAAUACUACUCGGUGACCGAUAGUGAAGAAGUACUGUGAAGGAAAGGUGAAAAGUACCCCUGACGGGGAGUGAAAAAGAACCUGAAACCUUGUGUUUACAAGCACCGAAAGCUCAUCAAAGAGCGAUCGGGUACCUUUUGUAGAAUGGUCCGGCGAGUGAAUGUAACCGGCGAGGUUAAGCACUUAAGGUGUGAAGCCGCAGCGAGAGCAAGUCUGAAUAGGGCGUAUGAAGUCGGUUGUAUUCGACCCGAAACCGGGUGACCUACCCAUGGUCAGGUUGAAGUAAAGGUAAAACUUUAUGGAGGACCGAACCGACUCCCGUUGAAAUGGUAGCGGAUGAACUGUGGGUAGCGGAGAAAUUCCAAUCGAACCCGGAGAUAGCUGGUUCUCUCCGAAAUAGCUUUAGGGCUAGCCUUGAAAUAGAUUACCGGAGGUAAAGCACUGAAUUGGCUAGGGGCCGAGAGGUUACUGAACCUUAUCAAACUAAGAAUGCCGGAUAAUCGUUUUUCAGGAGUCAGACAGUGGGAGAUAAGUUUCAUUGUCAAAAGGGAAACAGCCCAGACCCACAGCUAAGGUCCCCAAGUAUAGUUAAGUGGAAAAGGAUGUGGAAUUGCACAGACAACCAGGAUGUUGGCUUAGAAGCAGCCACUCAUUAAAAGAGUGCGUAAUAGCUCACUGGUCGAGUGACUCUGCGCCGAAAAUUUAACGGGGCUAAACUAUACACCGAAGCUUGGGAUACAUCUAAUGUAUGGUAGGAGAGCGUUCUGUAUGGGGUGAAGUCGUAGCGAAAGCGGCGGUGGACUGUACAGAAGUGAGAAUGCCGGAAUAAGUAGCGAGAAUUAAGUGAGAAUCUUAAUGGCCGAAAGUCUAAGGUUUUUGGAGGAAGGUUCGUCCGCUCCAAGUAAGUCGGGAGCUAAGGUCAGGCCGAAAGGCGUAGCCGAUGCACAUACGGUUGAUAUUCCGUAACCAUCUGUAAUUUAAGCAAAGGGACACUUCAAAAGGGUGUGACCCGGGCGUUGGUUGACCCGGGCGUAAGGGACCGAAAUUAGAGUAGGGAAGCACACUUGGCUGAAGGCGAGAAAAGCUUUGCGUAUAGAAACAGAUGCCCGUACCGCAAACCGACACAGGUGGACAGGAAGAGAAUUCUAAGGCCAGCGGGAGAAGGGUAGUUAAGGAACUCGGCAAAUUGACUCCGUAACUUCGGAAUAAGGAGUGCUCGAAAGAGCCGCAGAGAAUAGGCCCAGGCGACUGUUUAGCAAAAACACAGGUCUCUGCCAAAUCGAAAGAUGAAGUAUAGGGGCUGACACCUGCCCGGUGCUGGAAGGUUAAGAGGAGAUGUGCAAGCAUUGAAUUGAAGCCCCAGUAAACGGCGGCCGUAACUAUAACGGUCCUAAGGUAGCGAAAUUCCUUGUCGGGUAAGUUCCGACCCGCACGAAUGGUGUAACGAUCUGGGCACUGUCUCAACUACCCACCCGGCGAAAUUGUAGUACCGGUGAAGAUGCCGGUUACCUGCGGCAAGACGGAAAGACCCCAUGGAGCUUUACUGUAGCCUGAUAUUGGGUUUCGGAAAUCUAUGUACAGGAUAGGCGGGAGACUGGGAAACAUGAGCGUCAGCUUGUGUGGAGUCGAUGUUGGGAUACCGCCCUUAGGUUUCUGGAAUUCUAACCUGCGGCCGUGAAUCCGGUCGGGGGACAUUGUCAGGUGGGCAGUUUGACUGGGGCGGUCGCCUCCGAAAAGGUAACGGAGGCGCUCAAAGGUUAGCUCAGCACGGACGGAAACCGUGCCUCUGAGUGUAAACGCAAAAGCUAGCCUAACUGCGAGGGUGACGGCCCGAGCAGUAACGAAAGUUGGAGUUAGUGAUCCGGCGGUAUG